RNAcentral lists this ribosomal RNA (492 nucleotides) under uncultured bacterium. RNAcentral describes it as "partial 16S ribosomal RNA". It matches the Rfam family "Bacterial small subunit ribosomal RNA", at positions 29 to 507 of the family's 1533-position model. The record is from RNAcentral.
AUUGAACGCUGGCGGCAUGCUUUACACAUGCAAGUCGAGCGGUAACAGGCCUUCGGGUGCUGACGAGUGGCUAACGGGUGAGUAAUGCAUCGGAACGUACCCAGAGGUGGGCGAUAACGCAGCGAAAGCUGUGCUAAUACCGCAUGUGAUCUGAGGAUGAAAGCGGGGGACCGAGCAGCAAUGUUUGGCCUCGCGCCUUUGGAGCGGCCGAUGUCGGAUUAGCUAGUUGGGGGGGUAAAGGCCUACCAAGGCGACGAUCCGUAGCUGGUCUGAGAGGACGGCAGGCCACACUGGGACUGAGCCACGGCCCAGACUCCUACGAGAGGCAGCAGUGGGGAAUUUUGGACAGUGGGCGCAAGCCUGAUCCAGCAAUGCCGCGUGCGGGAAGAAGGCCUUCGGGUUGUAAAGCGCUUUUGGCAGGAACGAAACGGUGUCCGCUAAUACCGGGCGCUAAUGACGGUACCUGCAGAAUAAGCACCGGCUAACUACGUG